RNAcentral lists this unclassified non-coding RNA (372 nucleotides) under Hevea brasiliensis (rubber tree). Lineage: Eukaryota; Viridiplantae; Streptophyta; Magnoliopsida; Malpighiales; Euphorbiaceae. The record is from RNAcentral.
AAAGCACUCCGUAACCGCGGAGAUUCAUCUGUCAGCAGUCUCUGUGCUAUAUAUGGGUAAGCUUCAUCCACUAUGGCAAAAUCAGAGUUCCCCACCAGUGCAAUCCCCUCCAGCACGCCUAUUGCUCGAAUUAUUAAAGCAAAAUAGGGUGGUAUUCUAAAUGGAUAAUCAAAUGUUAUUUGUGCCAAAUCUGAUGCCAGCUCCUGAAAGUUAAGAUUUUUUGCUCCCCCACCUUCAAGUGCCUGGUCAAAAACCUUGGCAAGUACAGGCAAAAUGGGUUGCAAAUUGACCCCAUCGGGAAUGAAACCUAAUUUCACAAAGUCCUUGACUAUGGCACCAUAAUCUCGAUGAAUAAGGUGAGCUAUGGCUUCG